AACGAACGCUGGCGGCGUGCUUAACACAUGCAAGUCGAACGGUAAGGCCCUUCGGGGUACACGAGUGGCGAACGGGUGAGUAACACGUGGGUGAUCUGCCCUGCACUUCGGGAUAAGCCUGGGAAACCGGGUCUAAUACCGGAUAGGACCACUGCCUGCAUGGGUGGUGGUGGAAAGCUUUUGCGGUGUGGGAUGGGCCCGCGGCCUAUCAGCUUGUUGGUGGGGUGAUGGCCUACCAAGGCGACGACGGGUAGCCGGCCUGAGAGGGUGACCAGCGACACUGGGACUGGGAUACGGCCCAGAAGCCUACGGGAGGCAGCAGUGGGGAAUAUUGCACAAUGGGCGCAAGCCUGAUGCAGCGACGCCGCGUGAGGGAUGACGGCCUUCGGGUUGUAAACCUCUUUCAGCACCGACGAAGCGCAAGUGACGGUAGGUGCAGAAGAAGGACCGGCCAACUACGUGCCAGCCGCCGCCGUAA
Molecule: ribosomal RNA, 478 nt
Filed under: uncultured bacterium
Lineage: Bacteria
Description: partial 16S ribosomal RNA
Rfam family: Bacterial small subunit ribosomal RNA
Source: RNAcentral